GUGGGGAAUAUUGGACAAUGGGCGAAAGCCUGAUCCAGCCAUGCCGCGUGUGUGAAGAAGGCCUUUUGGUUGUAAAGCACUUUAAGCGAGGAGGAGGCUACCGAGAUUAAUACUCUUGGAUAGUGGACGUUACUCGCAGAAUAAGCACCGGCUAACUCUGUGCCAGCAGCCGCGGUAAUACAGAGGGUGCAAGCGUUAAUCGGAUUUACUGGGCGUAAAGCGCGCGUAGGUGGUUUUGUAAGUUGGAGGUGAACUCCCCGGGCUCAACCUGGGAACUGCCUCCAAAACUGCAUGACUAGAGUACGGUAGAGGGUAGUGGAAUUUCCUGUGUAGCGGUGAAAUGCGUAGAUAUAAGAAGGAACACCAGUGGCGAAGGCGACUACCUGGACUGAUACUGACACUGAGGUGCGAAAGCGUGGGGAGCAAACAGGAUUAGAUACCCUAGUAGUCC
This 451-nucleotide ribosomal RNA is filed under the name uncultured bacterium. RNAcentral describes it as "partial 16S ribosomal RNA". It matches the Rfam family "Bacterial small subunit ribosomal RNA", at positions 354 to 796 of the family's 1533-position model. The record is from RNAcentral.